GAUGUUAGCGGCGGACGGGUGAGUAACACGUGGAUAACCUACCUAUAAGACUGGGAUAACUUCGGGAAACCGGAGCUAAUACCGGAUAAUAUUUUGAACCGCAUGGUUCAAAAGUGAAAGACGGUCUUGCUGUCACUUAUAGAUGGAUCCGCGCUGCAUUAGCUAGUUGGUAAGGUAACGGCUUACCAAGGCAACGAUGCAUAGCCGACCUGAGAGGGUGAUCGGCCACACUGGAACUGAGACACGGUCCAGACUCCUACGGGAGGCAGCAGUAGGGAAUCUUCCGCAAUGGGCGAAAGCCUGACGGAGCAACGCCGCGUGAGUGAUGAAGGUCUUCGGAUCGUAAAACUCUGUUAUUAGGGAAGAACAUAUGUGUAAGUAACUGUGCACAUCUUGACGGUACCUAAUCAGAAAGCCACGGCUAACUACGUGCCAGCAGCCGCGGUAAUACGUAGGUGGCAAGCGUUAUCCGGAAUUAUUGGGCGUAAAGCGCGCGUAGGCGGUUUUUUAAGUCUGAUGUGAAAGCCCACGGCUCAACCGUGGAGGGUCAUUGGAAACUGGAAAACUUGAGCGCAGAAGAGGAAAGUGGAAUUCCAUGUGUAGCGGUGAAAUGCGCAGAGAUAUGGAGGAACACCAGUGGCGAAGGCGACUUUCUGGUCUGUAACUGACGCUGAUGUGCGAAAGCGUGGGGAUCAAACCGGAUUAGAUACCCUGGUAGUCCACGCCGUAAACGAUGAGUGCUAAGUGU
RNAcentral lists this ribosomal RNA (748 nucleotides) under uncultured Staphylococcus sp. RNAcentral's name for it is "bacterial SSU rRNA". It matches the Rfam family "Bacterial small subunit ribosomal RNA", at positions 88 to 823 of the family's 1533-position model. Lineage: Bacteria; Bacillati; Bacillota; Bacilli; Caryophanales; Staphylococcaceae. The record is from RNAcentral.